GCACCCUUGCUAAGAAGUUAGUGGAGCGUGUGUGGUUUACCGGCACACUAAUUGGUUCUAAGCAAAGGUGGCAAAGGGUGAUUCAUUGUUUAUCAUAGUUCGAUGGAGCGUGUGUGGUUUACCGGCACAUCGAAUAGGUGAUCGUUACAAUGAAGGCACCAUGUGAAUUUGCAUGGUAAUUCACACCCGCUUUGUGAUCCUCGGUAUCCCAGUCACAAACAAGAGGGGCAUAUCGAGAUUUAAACAUGCCAUUGAAUAGUUUCAAUGAAUCUCAUCCGAACCUAGGAAUUCUCAAAACAUUUAGGACUAAUAGUUAGGUUUUGUGGUGGAGAAUUAGUGAAUCGUCAUUCACUUACCUUCAAUUUAUUUGCAUGUUAGAUUACGGCAUCCCUUUUCUAAUAUGUAAAUGUUAUUGUUGGAUCCUAGCCCUAAUUUUUCUUAUUAGGUGAUAAUUAGGGAUUCUUAUUAUAAUCUAUCUUUGUCCUUCUAUUUGUAGAUGUCGAACGCAAACAACGCUGCUGCUAGUUCUUUCACGUUGAUGAGCCUUGGCCAAAAGGUCACCUUCGAUGGAACGAACUUUAGCGAAUGGAUAAGAUACAUUCGCACCAUUUCUCGCUAUGAGGAUAACGAGUAUGUCCUCGAUGAGAAGCUCGAGAAAAUCAACCCCGAAAUCGCUACUCCGGCUGAAAUCACCGCUUUUGAGACUCAUGAGCGAGAUGCAACGAAGGUACAUUGCAUCAUGAUUGCCACCAUGAACUCCGAAUUCCAAAAGUCCUACGAGGACAUGUACCCGUACGAGAUGCACCAAGACUUAUUGGAGAGAUACCACCAAAAUGCGAGACAAGAGCGUUAUGAGAUUUUCACCAACAUGAUUUCCGCUAAGAUGGGUCAUGGAGAAUCUCUUACCGUGCACUUGCAAAAGAUGCAAAGGUAUGUCGACCGCCUUCGCAAGUUAAAUGUUGACUUUGGGGAAGACUUGGCGAUCGACAUGGUGCUUCACUCUUUGCCUCCGAGCUACAAUCAAUUAAGGAUGACCUACCACAUGAACAAAGAGGAGGUCACCCUAAGCAAACUCCAAGGUCUCUUGAGGGUCGCUGAGAGCAACUUCAAAGACAAGUCUGUUGCACCAACUCCAAUCGACCCACUGCUCCUGUCUUGGCCAUAGGUCAAGGAAAGGGAAUGAAGAGGAAGGCUUCGUAUAAGAGGUCACCCUAAGCAAACUCCAAGGUCUUUUGAGGGUGACCUACCACAUGAACAAAGAAGAGGUCACUCUUUGCCUCCGAUGUACAACCAAUUUAGGAUGACCUACCACAUGAACAAAGAAGAGGUCACCCUAAGCAAACUCCAAGGUCUUUUGAGGGUCGCUGAGAGCAACUUCAAAGACAAGUCUGUUGCACCAACUCCCAAUCCGCCUGCUGCUCCUGUCUUGGCUAUUGGUCAAGGAAAGGGAAAGAAGAGGAAAGCUUCAUCGAAGAACUAUCGCNNNNNNNNNNNNNNNNNNNNNNNNNNNNNNNNNNNNNNNNNNNNNNNNNNNNNNNNNNNNNNNNNNCCCGGAGGGAGGCAGAGUCCCACCACUGCCACAAGAUAGGACAUUGGAAGAGAAGCUGCCCAGAGUACCUACAAGCAAUCAAAGAAGGAAAGAUCAAGCCAUCUUUCGCAGGUAUAUACACAAUUCAAUCUAACGAUUCUAAUCAUGCUAUUUCUUGGGUUCUUGAUACCGGUUGUGGUUAUCACAUUUGUUCUAAUGUGCAGGGACUAAGAAGAAGUAGGGAUGUGGAGCAAGGAAGGAUCAAUCUAAUCAUGGGGAACAGAAGAUCGUCGCCUGUUACCAAGAGUGGAGUGUAUUCUUUAGUGCUUAGGAAUAAUUUGUGUUUCGAGUUGAACAAUUGUUGCUAUUCGCCAGAAAUGGCUAGAAACAUCAUUUCAUUUCAUGGUUUAUACAGACAAGGAUUUAGAUUUUCUUUUAAUAAUGAGAAUGGUUCUAUUUUGGCUUAUCUAAAUGGUGUCUUUUACUUUGAAGCUAUACCAUGUAAUGGAAUAUAUGAAACCGUUAUGAUUGUUGAUAACUUAGGAAAUGAUGUUUUGAAUAUUGAUUCUUCCACUAGUAUGGAUAAAGCAUCCUUGUGGCAUUGUCGUCUUGGACAUGUCAACAAGAAACGCAUAGCCCAACUCCAAAAGGAUGGAGUGUUGGAGUCAUUCGACCUUAGGGAAGAUGACACAUGCGAGUCUUGUUUGCUUGGAAAGAUGACUAAGUCACCCUUCACGAGUACAUGUGAAAGGGGCGAGGGUCUAUUGGACCUAAUACAUACCGAUGUAUGUGGACCGUUUAGAUCAACCACGAAGGAUGGGAACCGCUUCUAUGUGACUUUUACCGAUGACUAUAGUAGAUAUGGGUAUAUCUACUUAAUCAAGCAAAAGUCAGACACCUUUGAAAAGUUCAAAGAGUUCAAGAAUGAAGUGGAGAAUCAAUUGGGCAGGAAAAUCAAGAUGCUUCGAUCCGAUCGAGGAGGAGAGUACCUAAGUCUUGAAUUCCACGAUUAUCUCAAGGAGUGUGGAAUAGUUUCGCAAUUGACGCCUCCUAGGACACCGCAGUUGAAUGGUGUGGCAGAAAGGCGUAAUCGAACCUUAUUGGAUAUGGUUCGCUCUAUGAUGAGUCGUGCUUCACUACCUAUCUCUUUUUGGGGGUAUGCCUUAGAGACUGCCGCCCAUAUCCUUAACCGAGUCCCUACUAAGAAGGUUGCCAAAACACCUCACGAGAUGUGGACAGGGAAAGCUCCCUCGUUGGCACAUAUCAAGGUUUGGGGUUGCGAGGCUUUCGUAAGACGAGAUACUCACGACAAGCUUGAACCUCGAAGUGAGCGAUGUAUUUUCAUCGGCUACCCGCAGACAUCCUUUGGAUAUCUCUUCUAUAGACCGAAGGACAAUGUUGUCUUCGUUGCGAGGAGAGGAGUUUUCCGAGAGCGAGAACUCAUAAGCCAAGGAGACAGUGGGAGGCAAAUCGAGCUUGAAGAGAUUCAAGAGUCGAUAGAUGAAGGAACCUCUACCGCUGGCACUCAACCCGAGGAGGAAACUCCGGUUGAACCGAUUGACGAAUCCUUACCUCUUAGACGUUCCGAUAGAGUUAGAGUUCAACCCCAGUUUUAUGGUUUUCAUAUUACUACCGAAGGGGACACGUAUAUUAGUGAUGGUACACUAAUAAAUCUUGAUGAACCUAAUAGCUAUAAGGAAGCCAUGGCAGGCCCGGAGUCUGCAAAAUGGAAAGAGGCAAUGGAUAGCGAGAUCCAAUCCAUGUAUGAUAACCAAGUUUGGAAUUUGGUUGAUUAUGUGCCCGGACGUAAGACCGUUGGGUGCAAAUGGAUCUUCAAGAAGAAGACCGACGUGGAUGGAAACGUACACACAUAUAAAGCGCGAUUGGUUGCGAAGGGCUUUACUCAAACUCCCGGAGUUGACUAUGAUGAGACCUUCUCACCAGUUGCGAAGAUUAAAUCUAUUAGAGUGAUGCUAGCAAUUGCCGCAUUUCAUGAUUAUGAGAUUUGGCAAAUGGAUGUCAAGACCGCUUUCCUUAACGGAAAGUUGGCUGAGGAUGUUUACAUGGCUCAGCCAGAGGGGUUUGUGGAUCCGAAGCAUCCGAAUAGAGUGUGUAAGCUUGAGAAGUCCAUUUAUGGACUUAAGCAAGCGUCUCGCAGAUGGAAUCUUUGCUUCGAUGAGAAAGUCAAAGAGUUUGGAUUUGUACGAAGCGAAGACGAAUCUUGUGUAUAUGUCAAAGCCAGUGGGAGUAUAGUAAGCUUCCUCGUUCUAUAUGUCGAUGACAUAUUACUCAUAGGAAAUGACAUCCCGACUCUGUAGGAGGUUAAGUCCUGGCUCGGGAAGUGCUUCGCUAUGAAGGACCUCGGAGAGGCUUCUUACAUUUUGGGAAUAAGGAUAGUAAGAGAAAGAAGUAAGAGACUAAUUGGACUUAGUCAGAAUACUUACUUAGAGAAGGUACUAAAACGUUUUAGUAUGGAAAACUCAAAGAAGGGAGAACUACCGAUACAAAGUAAUGCCAAAUUGAGUAAGACUCAAAGUCCGAGUACCGAAGCUGAGAUAGCAGAAAUGAGCCGAGUACCAUACGCUUCCGCAGUUGGCUCAAUCAUGUACGCUAUGACUUGUACUCGCCCUGAUGUAGCCUUCGCUUUGAGCAUGGUUAGCAGAUAUCAAGGGAAUCCUGGCAGAGCACAUUGGAUUGCGGUGAAGAAUAUCCUUAAGUACCUUCGGAGGACGAAGGAAUGGUUCUUAGUCCUCGGAGGGAGUGAUGACUUGAAGGUGCGAGGGUAUAGUGACGCCAGUUUUCAGACCGACAGGGACAACUACCGUUCGCAGUCGGGCUGGGUCUUUACCCUAAAUGGAGGAGCAGUGACAUGGAAGAGUUCCAAGCAGGAAACCGUAGCUGAUUCAACGUGCGAAUCAGAGUACAUUGCAGCGAGCGAAGCGUCGAAGGAGGCAAUAUGGCUAAAGAACUUCAUCGGUGAUCUUGGAGUUGUACCUGCCAUAAAGGAGCCCAUGGAGAUUUUCUGUGAUAACGAAGGAGCGGUUGCCUUGACCAAGGAACCGAGGGAUCAUGGUAGAUCAAGACAUAUCGACAGAAAAUAUCACUUCAUUAGACAUCGUGUAGAAGAAGGACAACUCGUAGUGAAGAGGAUAUCAUCAGAAGAUAACCCAGCAGAUCCGCUUACGAAGGGACUGAGUAGGGUUAAGCACUUGCAGCAUGCUAGGAGUAUUGGGCUGAAGGAUGAUAUUAGCAUAGAUUAGAUAGUAUUAGAAACGUGUAAUAGAUAAAUGUAAUUAACAUUUGAUGAUUAAAUAAAGGAGUUUUAUUUAUGAGUAAUGUUACUGUCUUAUGUUAAUUGUUUAACUAUUGUUUCAUUUUGCAUGUUUUGACUUCCAGAAUAAUUGAGUUUAUUAAGAAUAAUCGAAUUAUUCAAAUUGUCCACAAUCGUUCAUAUGUUGGAAGUAGAUAUGAAUGAAGAUUGUCAUGAAUUGGUGUGUAGAUUGUCUAAAUGGUAUUAGACAUAGCAAAGGGUUGCUGCAACGUUCAUGAGUGCUUAUGAACUAGUUUUGAGCAUUGGAACAAACCCGCGCUUGCUGGAAUCACCUUAUGGAAUAUGAUAUAAAAGGGUGAUCGCAAGACGAUAAUAUCAUAUAGUCUUAAAACCUAGAUAUAUGGUUUGUUAUUUGUUAAUUGAUUGUACAUUGAUAAUGCGAAAACGCAUCAGUAACUCGGUGUUAUAAAACGCAUUGUUGUGUAUAGUUGAUUAAUGAAUAAGUAAAUGCAUAUAAGUCGAAGUUUAUCUGUAACUUUUAACCUAAGAAGGUAAAAGCGAUAUCUCGGCCGCUCGAUGAUUUGAUUUGACUUAUGUGCCGGGCCCGGUCAGAACUGAAUUGAUGUGUUCGAUUAAGUUCUAUGUCAAAUAAAUCAGAGAUCGAGAAACCUAAAUGCUUGACUAAUCAUUCCAUAGAAUUGUCAGCAUGAUAUCUAACAGAGGACUGUACGAUCCCUUAUCUAAAGGACAAGAUUGAUUAGAUCAGAGUUUGACAGCAUCUUUGAGAGCUACGAUUGCAAAUCGGAUUGUACUUGUGCAUAUAGUUACUAGACUUAUCCAAGUGGGAGACUGUUGGAAUAGUGUCUAAGGCUGCAACUAUAUUAGGCAAGUAUUUGACCCGAUUGUGCAUGGUCCUUUUGGGUUGCCUUCACCAUAGCAACUUGAUAGGAUGAUUUAUUAUGAGAGAAUAAAUAUUAUUAAUAUAUUAUGAGAAUAAUAUAAGGAAUAAUAAUAUUGUUAUUUGAUUAAUAUAAGUCAUAAAUUAAUUAGUAUUAAUUUGGUGACUUAAAGAGAUUAAUUAAAUAAGAGGGUAUAAACUGUCAAUUGUUUGAUAGUUACACUUUGGGCUGUAAAUCCUUCUUGGAUAGAGGUUGGACGAAUUCUAGGGCUUGGGAUAGCCUCAAAUUCGUCCAAGGCUUAUCUUUGGAAAGGAUUUGGAUUGCUUUAAGGAAAGAUUAUCCAACUAGGGUUUAAGGGUGAAACCCUAGGAGCCUUACAAGUAUAAAUAGACCCCUAGGGCAAGGGAAAUCGGCACCUCUGCUAAAGCAAAGAAACCCUGGCCGAUUUCUAAUCCCUCUCCUCUCUCUCAAAUCAUCCUCCUUGCUAGUUGGUGUUUGUAAGCCAUUAGAGGAGUGACAAUUGUGACUCUAGAGCUCCAAGACAACAAGAUCAAACAAGAGAUUCAAAGGUAAACUUCUAGAUCUGAUUUUGUAUUGUUCUUAUACCUAAUUAGUCAUUAGAAGUCUUGGAUUCAAAGCAUGUUUAAUUAGAAAGCCUAGAUCCAAGCAUUAGGGUUUUGCAUGCGCACAUAGGAAAGUUCUUAUGGCUAAAACCCAUCAACUAAUCCCUACAUCCACACAAUAAUUGUUCAUCCGCAUAUGAACUUACCUCUCUCUCUCUCUCUAUAUAUAUAUAUAUAUAUAUAUAUAUAUAUAUAGAGAGAGAGAGAGAGAGCCUCUUAUAUACCUUUGUGAAGCAUGAAACAAACCAUGCUACUUACUCUACCUAAAAACUCAUACAACUCCAUAAAGUCCGGUCAAAGCAAAUACCAGUUCAAAUAAAAAACUAUUAACUAAAACAUAUAAUAUAAAUUCAUCAAUAAUUUAGUAAUUUUAAAUUCCAACCAUGCAUGUGAGCUAUAACAAACCGAUUAAACCCAACAAUCACCCCAUUAAUCGGUUUGUUCAUACAUUUAACUCACAACAGCGUUUAAUCACCUUCCUUUCGAACCAUCUCGAUUCUCGACUUUUCCUUAACAUCCGACCUCUACGUCGGUCACAUCCAAAGUUCUUGAUACCCGACUGUUGUUUGUCAUCACACAUAACCCAUUUGCACCACCUUAUCGGAGACCACCAAAAAGAAAAGAAAAUCAGAAAAAAAUGCUCCAACUGAACCACCUUCUCCGCCAUUAACCAUUGACGAACACCAGCAUCGUCAUAACCUCUGUUUACCUUCGACCCACCGGCUGCUUUACCUACAAACCCCGUUGAAAACAGCUGCUACAACCUGUUGUGAUCAACCUACUACCGACGAUCCAACGCCCUCUUUACCGGAACACACCACAACUGCUACGCGCUGAACCUUGUUUAACUGAUACCAUCGUUAAUAUUAUCUUUCUCUGUGAGAACCCCAACCUUUUCCGACCUAACCUGUUCCAUUGAGAGUCCUCUUCCACCAAUCAAGAAAACCAAGCUCUUGCAUCUUCUUUCUUCUUUUAUCAGUUGUGAGCAAGCCAAAUCAAAGCCCACCUGUUCUAAUUGCUUCUCGUCUUUGCUUUUGGUUAGGCACUCUUUAACUCGGAACAAAGAUCAUUAAGGAUGGAGUUGCACCUUUCUUCUUGCUACACCCCCUUUCA
This 7434-nucleotide long non-coding RNA is filed under the name Lactuca sativa (garden lettuce). RNAcentral describes it as "long non-coding RNA (LSAT_LNC003577)". Lineage: Eukaryota; Viridiplantae; Streptophyta; Magnoliopsida; Asterales; Asteraceae. The record is from RNAcentral.